CGUGUAGGCGGAUAUGUAGGUCAGAUGUGAAAUCCCUCGGCUCAACCGAGGAACUGCAUCUGAAACCAUGUGUCUUGAGUACGAGAGAGGAAAGUGGAAUUCCCAGUGUAGAGGUGAAAUUCAUAGAUAUUGGGAGGAACACCGGUGGCGAAGGCGGCUUUCUGGCUCGAUACUGACGCUGAGACGCGAAAGCGUGGGGAGCAAACAGGAUUAGAUACCCUGGUAGUCC
Molecule: ribosomal RNA, 229 nt
Filed under: uncultured bacterium
Lineage: Bacteria
Description: partial 16S ribosomal RNA
Rfam family: Bacterial small subunit ribosomal RNA
Source: RNAcentral